GCUUAACGCGAAGAACCUUACCUACUCUUGACAUCCAGAGAACUUAGCAGAGAUGCUUUGGUGCCUUCGGGAACUCUGAGACAGGUGCUGCAUGGCUGUCGUCAGCUCGUGUUGUGAAAUGUUGGGUUAAGUCCCGCAACGAGCGCAACCCUUAUCCUUUGUUGCCAGCGGUCCGGCCGGGAACUCAAAGGAGACUGCCAGUGAUAAACUGGAGGAAGGUGGGGAUGACGUCAAGUCAUCAUGGCCCUUACGAGUAGGGCUACACACGUGCUACAAUGGCGCAUACAAAGAGAAGCGACCUCGCGAGAGCAAGCGGACCUCAUAAAGUGCGUCGUAGUCCGGAUUGGAGUCUGCAACUCGACUCCAUGAAGUCGGAAUCGCUAGUAGUCGUAGAUCAGAAUGCUACGGUGAAUACGUUCCCGGGUCUUGUACACACCG
This 438-nucleotide ribosomal RNA is filed under the name uncultured bacterium. RNAcentral describes it as "bacterial SSU rRNA". It matches the Rfam family "Bacterial small subunit ribosomal RNA", at positions 954 to 1392 of the family's 1533-position model. The record is from RNAcentral.